Molecule: unclassified non-coding RNA, 312 nt
Filed under: Bombus terrestris (buff-tailed bumblebee)
Lineage: Eukaryota; Metazoa; Arthropoda; Insecta; Hymenoptera; Apidae
Description: misc RNA ENSBTSG00005036109.1
Source: RNAcentral
UGUUAUUUAUGGUGUUAAUAUUGUAAAAUUAACGCUUAAGUAGUACGCUAUUGUUCAUUUAAAAUAUGGUUACAAAAGUAUUUAAUUUUAAAAUGCUAUAUUAUCACAAAGAUAGAUAAGCACGUAGUGUUUCUCUGGUCCCUAUCCAGUAUAUUACAAUAAUUAUUGUAUUUAUGCAAGCUACAGAAAUAUUCAUUUAAAAUAUGGUUGCAAAAAUAUUUAAUUUUAAAAUGCUAUAUUAUCACAAAGAUAGAUAAGCACGUAGUGCUUCUCUGGUCUUUAUCCAGUAUAUUACAAUAAUUAUUGUAAUUG